GACGACCGCUGGCGGCGUGCUUAACCAAUGCAAUUCGAACGGUGAAGCGCUUUCCUUUUUGGUUGGUGUGGAUGAGUGGCGAACGGGUGAGUAACACGUGAGUAACCUGCCCCCUUCUUCUGGAUAACCGCAUGCAAGUGUGGCUACUACGGGAUAUUCUGCGCCUGCUGCUUGGUGGUUGUGGGAAAGCUUGUUCCUUUGGGUGUUUUCGUUGGGGGAUGGGCUCGCGGCCUAUCAGCUUGUUGGUGGGGUGAUGGCCUACCAAGGCGGUGACGGGUAGCCGGCAUGAGAGGGUGGACGGUCACAAUGGGACUGAGACACGGACCAGACUCCUACGGGAGGGAGGAGUGGGGAAUAUUGCACAAGGGGGGCAAGCCGGAUGCAGCGACGCCGCGGGAGGGAUGGAGGCCUUCGGGUUGUGAACCUCUUACGCCAGAGAAGCAGGCCUGCUCAUUGUGGGUGGGUUGACGGUAGCUGGAUAAGAAGCGACGGCUAACUACGUG
RNAcentral lists this ribosomal RNA (503 nucleotides) under uncultured bacterium. Its description in RNAcentral is "partial 16S ribosomal RNA". It matches the Rfam family "Bacterial small subunit ribosomal RNA", at positions 28 to 507 of the family's 1533-position model. The record is from RNAcentral.